AGAGUUUGAUCCUGGCUCAGGAUGAACGCUGGCGGCGUGCCUAAUACAUGCAAGUCGAGCGAACAGACGAGGAGCUUGCUUCUCUGACGUUAGCGGCGGACGGGUGAGUAACACGUGGAUAACCUACCUAUAAGACUGGGAUAACUUCGGGAAACCGGAGCUAAUACCGGAUAAUAUAUUGAACCGCAUGGUUCAAUAGUGAAAGACGGUUUUGCUGUCACUUAUAGAUGGAUCCGCGCCGCAUUAGCUAGUUGGUAAGGUAACGGCUUACCAAGGCAACGAUGCGUAGCCGACCUGAGAGGGUGAUCGGCCACACUGGAACUGAGACACGGUCCAGACUCCUACGGGAGGCAGCAGUAGGGAAUCUUCCGCAAUGGGCGAAAGCCUGACGGAGCAACGCCGCGUGAGUGAUGAAGGUCUUCGGAUCGUAAAACUCUGUUAUUAGGGAAGAACAAAUGUGUAAGUAACUAUGCACGUCUUGACGGUACCUAAUCAGAAAGCCACGGCUAACUACGUGCCAGCAGCCGCGGUAAUACGUAGGUGGCAAGCGUUAUCCGGAAUUAUUGGGCGUAAAGCGCGCGUAGGCGGUUUUUUAAGUCUGAUGUGAAAGCCCACGGCUCAACCGUGGAGGGUCAUUGGAAACUGGAAAACUUGAGUGCAGAAGAGGAAAGUGGAAUUCCAUGUGUAGCGGUGAAAUGCGCAGAGAUAUGGAGGAACACCAGUGGCGAAGGCGACUUUCUGGUCUGUAACUGACGCUGAUGUGCGAAAGCGUGGGGAUCAAACAGGAUUAGAUACCCUGGUAGUCCACGCCGUAAACG
RNAcentral lists this ribosomal RNA (818 nucleotides) under uncultured bacterium. RNAcentral's name for it is "bacterial SSU rRNA". It matches the Rfam family "Bacterial small subunit ribosomal RNA", at positions 8 to 808 of the family's 1533-position model. The record is from RNAcentral.